AACGAACGCUGGCGGCAGGCCUAACACAUGCAAGUCGAGCGGGAACUUCGGGGUGAGCGGCGGUCGGGUGGGUAACGCGUGGGAACUUGCCCUUUUCUACGGUAUACCCUCGGGAAACAGAGCGUAAUAACGCUUACGCCAUUUCGGGGAAGGAUCUAUCGGAACAGGAUGGGCCCGAGAUUGUUUGGGUAGUUGGUGGUGUAAUGGCCUACCAUGCCGAUGUUUCAUAGCUGGUUGGGGAGGAUGAACAGGACCGCUGGGACUGAGACACGGCCCAGACUCCGACGGGAGGGAGCAGUGGGGAAUCUUAGACAAUGGGGGCAAACCUGAUCUAGCCAUGCCGCGUGUGUGAUGAAGGCCUUAGGGUUGUAAAGCUCUUUCAGCUGGGAAGAUAAUGACGGUACCAGCAGAAGAAGCCCCGGCUAACUCCGUG
This 433-nucleotide ribosomal RNA is filed under the name uncultured bacterium. RNAcentral describes it as "partial 16S ribosomal RNA". It matches the Rfam family "Bacterial small subunit ribosomal RNA", at positions 29 to 507 of the family's 1533-position model. The record is from RNAcentral.